UCUUGAUUCAGUGACCGUUAGUUGUUACUUGUCUCUGAGUCGUUGUUGCAGUUGACAGCGUGCUAUCUUCUAUUACAUAAUAGUGUCCUAUAUUUUAUUGUUUAGAAUGGUUAUCGCUUCGUUUAAACAACUAUUCAAGAUAACUAAAAACUAUCGUGCUGGAUUUUAUAGAGGAGGCUCGCCUACCAAUCUGAAAAAUUCUCGAAAUAAAAACAAUCGAUAUCAAAAAUGAGUACCCUGUAGUUGAAAUAGAAAUACUUCGUCCAGUUAUAGAUGACGAUGAUGGUAUGAUUGAAACCAAAGAAACUCGUGUUGGUACCGAAGACGAAGAUUUAUCAGCUAGUUCACAAAAUAACGAAGAAGCUAGAGAAGAAACUCCUCUAAGUGAUAGUAGUUCGUCAAUUAAGAUUGAAAUUGGAACGAGAAGAACGAAAAAGCAGAAACAUCUUUCUCCAGACUCUUUAGAGUUAAAGAGUUUUCUCAAGAGUAAAAUUACAAUUGGUGACGAUCACUACUCUUAUAACAUUCGUAAAAUAAAACAACAACGAUACGGAGAACGUCAUCAUAAACACUCCAAAGAAACACUUUUUGUUUUUGGCCUUAAAUUCUGACAAAAUAGCUUCAAAGUCGAAAAGGGAAAAAUUGUUUCAAAAUUUUCCAUCAGUUGUUCAGGAUGUUCUGGAGGAGUUGUCAUCUGGUCAGAAUAAUAUAUAUAUAUAUAAGGGUAUAGUAGAUAUAUUGUUGAUCAAUACCGAUGAAGGUGAUGUCAGAGGCGAAUUGAUGGAAGCACUUGAGAACUGCAAUUUUAUUGAACGCAAAGGGGAGGCCUUUUCGGGUAACGGCUACCGCCAAGAAACGAAAAAGUACCGAACAAAAAAUCCAACACUUCCAACGUGGCGAUACAAACAAAAAAGCUAAACAAACUUUUUACUCCGAAAAGGCUAAUA
Molecule: long non-coding RNA, 947 nt
Organism: Sitophilus oryzae (rice weevil)
Lineage: Eukaryota; Metazoa; Arthropoda; Insecta; Coleoptera; Curculionidae
Exons: 3
Source: RefSeq, a predicted model, not a curated record